Long non-coding RNA from Leptopilina heterotoma, 214 nucleotides. RefSeq lists it as uncharacterized. The record is from RefSeq and is a predicted model, not a curated record. Lineage: Eukaryota; Metazoa; Arthropoda; Insecta; Hymenoptera; Figitidae. The transcript is spliced from 2 exons.
UUCCUUUAUUUUGCAAUUUUCCUUGAGAAAAGAGAAAAUUUUUUGACGAAUCAAAAGAGAAGAAAAUCGAAUCAACACUUUUUGGAUGGAUGGGGAAUUUUAUAUUCAAGUGGAAAAUUAACAACAGAAUGACGUGAGAAAAGAGACAGCAGAAAAAAAAAAUUUUUAUUUUUUGACAAUUCAACAUUGAUAGAUGCAUUUAUUUUUUAUCCUG